GAUGAACGCUGGCGGCGUGCCUAAUACAUGCCAGUCGAGCGAACGGACGAGAAGCUUGCUUCUCUGAUGUUAGCGGCGGACGGGUGAGUAACACGUGGAUAACCUACCUAUAAGACUGGGAUAACUUCGGGAAACCGGAGCUAAUACCGGAUGAUAUUUUGAACCGCAUGGUUCAAAAGUGAAAGACGGUCUUGCUGUCACUUAUAGAUGGAUCCGCGCUGCAUUAGCUAGUUGGUAAGGUAACGGCUUACCAAGGCAACGAUGCAUAGCCGACCUGAGAGGGUGAUCGGCCACACUGGAACUGAGACACGGUCCAGACUCCUACGGGAGGCAGCAGUAGGGAAUCUUCCGCAAUGGGCGAAAGCCUGACGGAGCGACGCCGCGUGAGUGAUGAAGGUCUUCGGAUCGUAAAACUCUGUUAUUAGGGAAGAACAUAUGUGUAAGUAACUGUGCACAUCUUGACGGUACCUAAUCAGAAAGCCACGGCUAACUACGUG
This 497-nucleotide ribosomal RNA is filed under the name uncultured bacterium. RNAcentral describes it as "partial 16S ribosomal RNA". It matches the Rfam family "Bacterial small subunit ribosomal RNA", at positions 28 to 507 of the family's 1533-position model. The record is from RNAcentral.